Molecule: ribosomal RNA, 254 nt
Filed under: uncultured bacterium
Lineage: Bacteria
Description: partial 16S ribosomal RNA
Rfam family: Bacterial small subunit ribosomal RNA
Source: RNAcentral
CACGUAGGGUGCGAGCGUUGUCCGGAAUUAUUGGGCGUAAAGAGCUCGUAGGCGGUGUGUCGCGUCGGCCGUGAAAACCUGCAGCUUAACUGUGGGCUUGCGGUCGAUACGGGCAUCACUGGAGUUCGGCAGGGGAGACUGGAAUUCCUGGUGUAGCGGUGAAAUGCGCAGAUAUCAGGAGGAACACCGGUGGCGAAGGCGGGUCUCUGGGCCGAUACUGACGCUGAGGCAUGAAAGCGUGGGUAGCAAACAGG